CUUUGAACUUCGCAGGAGACUGAAGAAACUCUUCUCUUGCACCUCCAUGGUCAUCGCCUGUGGCGACACCACUGUUCGCACUGAGGACGACCUCCAGAACGUACUCAAG
RNAcentral lists this non-coding RNA (109 nucleotides) under Gloeochaete wittrockiana. Lineage: Eukaryota; Glaucocystophyceae; Gloeochaetales; Gloeochaetaceae. The record is from RNAcentral.